CCUACGGGGGGCUGCAGUGAGGAAUAUUGGUCAAUGGACGAGAGUCUGAACCAGCCAAGUAGCGUGAAGGAUGACUGUCCUAUGGGUUGUAAACUUCUUUUAUAUGGGAAUAAAAUGUUCCACGUGUGGGAGGUUGUAUGUACCAGAUGAAUAAGGAUCGGCUAACUCCGUGCCAGCAGCCGCGGUAAUACGGAGGAUACGAGCGUUAUCCGGAUUUAUUGGGUUUAAAGGGUGCGUAGGUGGAUUGUUAAGUCAGUUGUGAAAGUUUGCGGCUCAACCGUAAAAUGGCAGUUGAAACUGGCAGUCUCGAGUACAGUAGAGGUGGGCGGAAUUCGUGGUGUAGCGGUGAAAUGCUUAGAUAUCACGAAGAACUCCGAUUGCGAAGGCAGCUCACUGGACUGCAACUGACACUGAGGCUCGAAAGUGUGGGUAUCAAACAGGAUUAGAUACCCCGGUAGUC
This 460-nucleotide ribosomal RNA is filed under the name uncultured bacterium. Its description in RNAcentral is "partial 16S ribosomal RNA". It matches the Rfam family "Bacterial small subunit ribosomal RNA", at positions 338 to 795 of the family's 1533-position model. The record is from RNAcentral.